CAGGUUUACCUGUGUGACUGCGUACCUUUUGUAUAAUGGGUCAGCGACUUAUAUUCUGUAGCAAGGUUAACCGUAUAGGGGAGCCGUAGGGAAACCGAGUCUUAACCGGGCGUUAAGUUGCAGGGUAUAGACCCGAAACCCGGUGAUCUAGCCAUGGGCAGGUUGAAGGUUGGGUAACACUAACUGGAGGACCGAACCGACUAAUGUUGAAAAAUUAGCGGAUGACCUGUGGCUGGGGGUGAAAGGCCAAUCAAACCGGGAGAUAGCUGGUUCUCCCCGAAAGCUAUUUAGGUAGCGCCUCGUGAAUUCAUCUCCGGGGGUAGAGCACUGUUUCGGCUAGGGGGCCAUCCCGGCUUACCAACCCGAUGCAAACUGCGAAUACCGGAGAAUGUUAUCACGGGAGACACACGGCGGGUGCUAACGUCCGUCGUGAAGAGGGAAACAACCCAGACCGCCAGCUAAGGUCCCAAAGUCAUGGUUAAGUGGGAAACGAUGUGGGAAGGCCCAGACAGCCAGGAUGUUGGCUUAGAAGCAGCCAUCAUUUAAAGAAAGCGUAAUAGCUCACUGGUCGAGUCGGCCUGCGCGGAAGAUGUAACGGGGCUAAACCAUGCACCGAAGCUGCGGCAGCGACGCUGAUGCGUUGUUGGGUAGGGGAGCGUUCUGUAAGCCUGCGAAGGUGGCCUGUGAGGGUUGCUGGAGGUAUCAGAAGUGCGAAUGCUGACAUAAGUAACGAUAAAGCGGGUGAAAAGCCCGCUCGCCGGAAGACCAAGGGUUCCUGUCCAACGUUAAUCGGGGCAGGGUGAGUCGACCCCUAAGGCGAGGCCGAAAGGCGUAGUCGAUGGGAAACGGGUUAAUAUUCCCGUACUUGGUGUUACUGCGAAGGGGGGACGGAGAAGGCUAUGUUGGCCGGGCGACGGUUGUCCCGGUUUAAGCGUGUAGGUGUGUGUUCCAGGUAAAUCCGGUUCACUUUAACACUGAGGCGUGACGACGAGGCACUACGGUGCUGAAGCAACAAAUGCCCUGCUUCCAGGAAAAGCCUCUAAGCAUCAGGUAACAUCAAAUCGUACCCCAAACCGACACAGGUGGUCAGGUAGAGAAUACCAAGGCGCUUGAGAGAACUCGGGUGAAGGAACUAGGCAAAAUGGUGCCGUAACUUCGGGAGAAGGCACGCUGACACGUAGGUGAAGUGAUUUACUCAUGGAGCUGAAGUCAGUCGAAGAUACCAGCUGGCUGCAACUGUUUAUUAAAAACACAGCACUGUGCAAACACGAAAGUGGACGUAUACGGUGUGACGCCUGCCCGGUGCCGGAAGGUUAAUUGAUGGGGUCAGCGCAAGCGAAGCUCCUGAUCGAAGCCCCGGUAAACGGCGGCCGUAACUAUAACGGUCCUAAGGUAGCGAAAUUCCUUGUCGGGUAAGUUCCGACCUGCACGAAUGGCGUAAUGAUGGCCAGGCUGUCUCCACCCGAGACUCAGUGAAAUUGAACUCGCUGUGAAGAUGCAGUGUACCCGCGGCAAGACGGAAAGACCCCGUGAACCUUUACUAUAGCUUGACACUGAACAUUGAGCCUUGAUGUGUAGGAUAGGUG
Molecule: ribosomal RNA, 1586 nt
Filed under: Salmonella enterica subsp. enterica serovar Mbandaka
Lineage: Bacteria; Pseudomonadati; Pseudomonadota; Gammaproteobacteria; Enterobacterales; Enterobacteriaceae
Description: partial 23S ribosomal RNA
Rfam family: Bacterial large subunit ribosomal RNA
Source: RNAcentral